AUGUUCCUAUUUUUAAAAAUUUGUUCACAAAUUCAAAAAAAAAAUCACGUUCUGUUAAUUUUUUUUGACAAUUCAAAAAAUGUUCAUGAUCCCAAAAUCUGUUCAGAAAAUUUUGAAAUGUUUGUUCUUCCAAUUUUUUGUUCGGAAUUUGGUGAAAAGUUCCAUUUUGAACUUUUGUUAAUAAAUUCUAAAAAUGUUCGUAGUUAUAAAUUUUUGUUCAAAUUACAUGAUGUUCCUUUUUUCAAUUAUUUGUUCAAAAAUUCUAAAAAUGUUCGAAGUUUCAAAAUUUGUCCAGAUUUUCAUAAUUUGUACACGUAUUUAAAAAAUGUUCCUUUUGCCGAAAAUUGUUCAAACAUUCAAAAAAUGUUUUGCACAUUUUCAAAGUAUACAUGUUAA
Molecule: ribosomal RNA, 396 nt
Filed under: Triticum aestivum (bread wheat)
Lineage: Eukaryota; Viridiplantae; Streptophyta; Magnoliopsida; Poales; Poaceae
Description: partial small subunit ribosomal RNA
Source: RNAcentral